Molecule: long non-coding RNA, 469 nt
Filed under: Medicago truncatula (barrel medic)
Lineage: Eukaryota; Viridiplantae; Streptophyta; Magnoliopsida; Fabales; Fabaceae
Description: long non-coding RNA (MTRU_LNC007180)
Source: RNAcentral
AAUAUCUAGAAUAAAUAAGAACGAGAUGACCAUAACCAAUGACAAAGACGAGAUGACCAUAACCAAUGACAAAGACAGGUUGUCAGCGUUCGAAAUUAAAGAAAUGACUGAAGAAGCUGAGAGGUGCAAUGUGGAAGAUAAAAUUAUUUCAAGGAAGGCCAAGGUAAUAAGUGUGUUCAUAUCUUGUUUUAUAAAUCCAAGACUGUCUAGUUUUUUUUUUUCUUUAUUUAGAUGUCUUGCUUUUAGCAAGUGCUCAAAUCUUUAGGUUAAUUAUCAUUAUCUAACAUUAUUGAAGUUUAUUGUAAAAUUUGCAUUGAACAUGUUACUUAAAUUUUGUUUCUGUUUUCUACCUUGUUUUAUAGUUUUAGCAGCAUCUUUGAAAACCAUGCUUCCAUAUAAAGAUCUCUCUCAAGCCCUUGUGUGGUUGAAACCGUUGCAGAGCUAGACAUCUUCAAGAAAUAGAAUUGAC